Sphaeramia orbicularis (orbiculate cardinalfish) is the source of this 90-nucleotide long non-coding RNA. RefSeq lists it as uncharacterized. The record is from RefSeq and is a predicted model, not a curated record. The transcript has 3 exons. Lineage: Eukaryota; Metazoa; Chordata; Actinopteri; Kurtiformes; Apogonidae.
UCAUUAUUAUUAUUAUUACAUUAGGACAAUGUUUGCAUUUAUCAACUAUACUUUCACAAAUAAAAGUGAAUAACUUGAACAAAUACAAAC